GAUGAAGAACGUAGCGAAAUGCGAUAGGUAAUGUGAAUUGCAGAAUUCAGUGAAUCAUCGAAUCUUUGAACGCACAUUGCGCCCCCUGGUAUUCCGGGGGGCAUGCCUGUUCGAGCGUCAUUUCACCACUCAAGCCUCGCUUGGUAUUGGGCAACGCGGUCCGCCGCGUGCCUCAAAUCGACCGGCUGGGUCUUCUGUCCCCUAAGCGUUGUGGAAACUAUUCGCUAAAGGGUGUUCGGGAGGCUACGCCGUAAAACAACCCCAUUUCUAAGGUUGACCUCGGAUCAGGUAGGGAUAGCCGCUGAACUUAAGCAUAUCAAUAAGCGGAGGA
Molecule: unclassified non-coding RNA, 331 nt
Filed under: soil metagenome
Description: partial contains 5.8S ribosomal RNA, internal transcribed spacer 2, and large subunit ribosomal RNA
Rfam family: 5.8S ribosomal RNA (bases 1-120)
Source: RNAcentral